This 544-nucleotide ribosomal RNA is filed under the name uncultured bacterium. Its description in RNAcentral is "bacterial SSU rRNA". It matches the Rfam family "Bacterial small subunit ribosomal RNA", at positions 355 to 896 of the family's 1533-position model. The record is from RNAcentral.
UGAGGAAUAUUGGUCAAUGGGCGAGAGCCUGAACCAGCCAAGUAGCGUGCAGGAUGACGGCCCUCCGGGUUGUAAACUGCUUUUAGUUGGGAAUAAAAAAAGGGACUUGUCCCUUCUUGUAUGUACCUUCAGAAAAAGGACCGGCUAAUUCCGUGCCAGCAGCCGCGGUAAUACGGAAGGUCCAGGCGUUAUCCGGAUUUAUUGGGCGUAAAGCGAGCGCAGGCGGUUAGAUAAGUCUGAAGUGAAAGGCAGUGGCUCAACCAUUGUAGGCUUUGGAAACUGUUUAACUUGAGUGCAGAAGGGGAGAGUGGAAUUCCAUGUGUAGCGGUGAAAUGCGUAGAUAUAUGGAGGAACACCGGUGGCGAAAGCGGCUCUCUGGUCUGUAACUGACGCUGAGGCUCGAAAGCGUGGGGAGCGAACAGGAUUAGAUACCCUGGUAGUCCACGCCGUAAACGAUGAGUGCUAGGUGUUAGGUCCUUUCCGGGACUUAGUGCCGCAGCUAACGCAUUAAGCACUCCGCCUGGGGAGUACGACCGCAAGGUUG